CUAUGUGGCAAGUGAGUAUUGGUUGGGUUAUGUUUGCACGUGUUUGUUUGUUGCCUUGCCAAGUUUCUCUUCUGAUGUCUUCCAGUGACACUUAUUAUGUUAGAUGAGACAUUACUUUCGCUCCCAUCGUCUCUGUCUCUUCUACUCAUGUACAGACUGUUUUGGAGACAUUAAAUUGAAGUAGUGGUAGUCUGGUCCGCCAAUGACGAUGGUCUUUUAGGGUUUUGAUAGCGCCGAUGCCUUUUAAUCGUCCCACCGAGGAAGCACAGGCACCGAUAAUGGCCAUAGGGGUAACCAUCAACCCGGCGAUUCGAGAUAUUGUUUUCAAUAAUAAAUCAUAGUUAAUAUCCAAAGUUAUGAAUUUACUGAAGAUAUUCGGGUAGAUAGGUUUCAACCGGAGUUGGUAUUGGCGAUCACUCAAUUUUCAACUCUGGUAGAUUUUUGUUUUCACAUAGUUGAUCAAAAUUUAAUUAGGGUUAUUGAAAAAAAUAUACCUUAAUCAUGGUUUCACCACAUUAUGUAUUUAUAACUUUAUGUAAGAGUUUUUUUGUUUCUUUUGUUCAAUGAUAUUGAUUUGUUUUUGUGAAUCUAAUAAUAUGCAGGUUGAGUUAUUUUGGUUUAUGAAAUAAUGUCACAGGUCACCAAAUGGAAAGUUCAGAAAGGUUAAGUAAAGGUGGUUUUUCGGCUAUAGUUUCACACAACACAUGUAAAAUCCUCCUUUUAUCUCCUCUAAUCCAGUUUCUUUAGUAACACUACGGUAGAAUUUGUAUAUGGUAUAUGGUAGUUGUAAAACAUGUUCUUUUUGGGAUCCAUUUAUCACAUAUAUUGAGCACUAUGGAGAAAAGAGACUAAAACAGAGCGCACCUGAAUCGCCAAAUUCCAAAGAAGCCCAUGAUGAUGAUCACUCUACUACAAAGCCGUUUAACUUGCAUACAAACUGAACCAGAAGGCUGCAUCAUCAAGCAUUAAGGAUUUGAAACAUCUGCUAUAUGCUCAGGGUCGAGCCAUACUUAACGGUGUCAAUUACGGCUUAACAUCAACAAGAAUCCAAGAUGAAACGGGGCAUCAGUUAGUAUUCAUUCUCUAAUCAUCUACAAAUGUGCUUUUAAAACAAUAAUAAUAGAAGACUCAGGUACCUGUUCGCUAUGUAUAACCAUUUUUAUCCAAUAUUCUUUUUUUUUUGUUUAGGAGUGUUCACGGUUCGGCUGACCGGUUUUGACGGUUGAACCGCUAACUAUAGUUUUAGGUAACAGCAAAGCGAACUGGCCGUGUUGGGUGACGGUUUAACGAUUCAGUUUUGACAGUUUCGCGAUUUAAACUGAUUUUCGUUCUAAGCGAACCUUAAUGUAUUUUGCACCCUAUUUGACCCGUUUGAUUGACCAAUACAUAUACUUUGGGUCGAA
Helianthus annuus (common sunflower) is the source of this 1403-nucleotide long non-coding RNA. RefSeq lists it as uncharacterized. The record is from RefSeq and is a predicted model, not a curated record. The transcript has 2 exons. NCBI's taxonomy places the organism in Eukaryota, Viridiplantae, Streptophyta, Magnoliopsida, Asterales, Asteraceae.